GGCUCAGAUUGAACGCUGGCGGCAUGCCUUGCACAUGCAAGUCGAACGGUAACAGGUCUUCGGAUGCUGACGAGUGGCGAACGGGUGAGUAAUACAUCGGAACGUGCCCGAGAGUGGGGGAUAACGAAGCGAAAGCUUUGCUAAUACCGCAUACGAUCUCAGGAUGAAAGCAGGGGACCGCAAGGCCUUGCGCUCACGGAGCGGCCGAUGGCAGAUUAGGUAGUUGGUGGGAUAAAAGCUUACCAAGCCGACGAUCUGUAGCUGGUCUGAGAGGACGACCAGCCACACUGGGACUGAGACACGGCCCAGACUCCUACGGGAGGCAGCAGUGGGGAAUUUUGGACAAUGGGCGCAAGCCUGAUCCAGCCAUGCCGCGUGCAGGAUGAAGGCCUUCGGGUUGUAAACUGCUUUUGUACGGAACGAAAAGACUCUGGUUAAUACCUGGGGUCCAUGACGGUACCGUAAGAAUAAGCACCGGCUAACUACGUG
RNAcentral lists this ribosomal RNA (489 nucleotides) under uncultured bacterium. RNAcentral's name for it is "bacterial SSU rRNA". It matches the Rfam family "Bacterial small subunit ribosomal RNA", at positions 21 to 507 of the family's 1533-position model. The record is from RNAcentral.